CCUACGGGAGGCAGCAGUGAGGAAUAUUGGUCAAUGGGCGCGAGCCUGAACCAGCCAAGUCGCGUGAGGGAUGACGGUCCUACGGAUUGUAAACCUCUUUUGCCGGGGAGCAAGCGUUCGUUCGUGAACGCGCGUCGAGAGUACCCGUAGAAAAAGCAUCGGCUAACUCCGUGCCAGCAGCCGCGGUAAUACGGAGGAUGCGAGCGUUCUCCGGAUUUAUUGGGUUUAAGGCGCUCGUAGGCGGUAUGUCAAGUCAAGGGUGAAAUCCCCGCGCUCAACGUGGGAACUGCCUUUGAAACUGGCAAACUGGAGUGUGUGAGAGGAUAGUGGAAUUCCAGGUGUAGGAGUGAAAUCCGUAGAUAUCGGGAGGAACAUCAGUGGCGAAGGCGACUAUCUGGAACAUAACUGACGCUGAGGAGCGAAAGCGUGGGUAGCAAACAGGAUUAGAUACCCUUGUAGUC
RNAcentral lists this ribosomal RNA (461 nucleotides) under uncultured bacterium. RNAcentral describes it as "partial 16S ribosomal RNA". It matches the Rfam family "Bacterial small subunit ribosomal RNA", at positions 338 to 795 of the family's 1533-position model. The record is from RNAcentral.